AACGUAGGUACCGAGCGUUAUCCGGAUUUACUGGGCGUAAAGAGCGCGCAGGCGGUCGUUCAAGUCGCGUGUGAAAGCCCCCGGCUCAACUGGGGAGGGUCACGCGAUACUGAUCGACUCGAAGGCAGGAGAGGGUAGUGGAAUUCCCGGUGUAGUGGUGAAAUGCGUAGAUAUCGGGAGGAACACCAGUGGCGAAGGCGACUGCCUGGCCUGUUCUUGACGCUGAGGCGCGAAAGCUAGGGGAGCAAACGGG
This 253-nucleotide ribosomal RNA is filed under the name uncultured bacterium. Its description in RNAcentral is "partial 16S ribosomal RNA". It matches the Rfam family "Bacterial small subunit ribosomal RNA", at positions 524 to 776 of the family's 1533-position model. The record is from RNAcentral.